Dicentrarchus labrax (European seabass) is the source of this 2411-nucleotide long non-coding RNA. RefSeq lists it as uncharacterized. NCBI's taxonomy places the organism in Eukaryota, Metazoa, Chordata, Actinopteri, Moronidae. The transcript has 2 exons. The record is from RefSeq and is a predicted model, not a curated record.
UCGGUAUGGAAGCACUUUGAGCUCUUGGCCUGAGUGGUGAACCGUGUAGUUUCGUGGUGCCACACGUCUUUCCUGUGUUGGUUUAUGGAUGUGUGGCGACAUAAGUGAUUCCAGGCCUGUGUGGUAGCGCCGUGACGCAGAUGCAGCCAAAGAAAACUGUUCAGGCAGACGUGUGGAGGGAAGCACUGGAGCUGAGGAUCUCAGACUGAAAGUGAGAACGUUGGUGUUUAAACAGGGACACCGUCUCCUGGACUCUACCGGAGGCGUUUCAUCACUGUCAGCGCCGGUUUGAAAACGUCCUCUGUCAGGCCACACCGGCUGGAGACGCAAGGCUGCUUGAAAAGAGCCACAGACCUGAAGACGUGCUGAAAGAAACCCUUGGUACGUCAAUGGACCGCUCACUGGGAGAGAGCAAGGGGAGGACGGAGGGAAGCUAAACACUGAACUGUAUGUAAACAGAGACAGAAGUCAGUUGAUCACUUUGAUAACAGAUUUCAGGCUUAAGCAACGACCCAGUUUACUUUAUUUUCUGAUGCAUAAAUGUGCACUUGAAGUUGAAAUAUGUUCAGUCCAAAACACACAACACAACACAAACAGACAUGUUCAGGUUUCUCUUUUGGUCAUUUUUUAAAACUUAAAAUAUGAAAUUUCUGCCACUAGCGGGUCUUUUACAUUAAAACCAUAAUAAUGAAAGAAGUUUGAUGAGGUGGUGAAGCAGCUAGUAACGUUUAGAAAUGUAACAUAUUAUAGAUUUAAAGUUCACUUAUUUUUAGAGCUAUUUUAGCAGAAUUCAUAUCCCAAAAUACCAAAUAUAUACGAUACUGGUGUGCCACAAGGCAGUACAUUGGGUCAUUUUUAUUUUCUUUAUCUAAAUAAAAGUUUCAUAUACAUUCUUAGCCCAAAAAACUACAACAAAAAGUUGCUCAAUCAUUCAAUUGAAAUGUCCAUUAACAGUAAAAAGUAUUGCUAACAUUUAGUUUUUUUCACCAAUGGAAUAUGAAGUUUUCUCGUUAUAAACUGUUUCUAUUCUACAUGUGUUAAUAGUGGUAUUUAUACAGUAUUUGACAAUGUGGAAAAAACAUAUUUUUUUCCUGAUUAAACUCAGUUCGUUACAGUUCUUAUCAAACAGAUUCAAACAAUCCCCCACCACUGCAUGUGACACUGGUGUGCCACAGGGCAGUAUACUGGGUCCUGUGUAAAAGUAAAGUAAAUAACAGAUUUUUCAUUGUAAAAUGUCCAUGAGUCAGAAUUAAUAUUUAAUUUGACUUAUUUUGAUAAGUCCCUUUCAGUCAUGGGAUAUAUAGAGUUGUGUUUUGAUUGUGAAUCAUCUUUAUUAACUUUUCUCUGGAGUUGUGCCAAACCAGUAUUAUACAUGAACAAAUAUUGACAUAUGUUAAAAAAACAAACUCACUGGCAGGAAGGAGAUCCUUUAAGAAACUUAUAACAAUAGAAAACUCCAUGUGAGAGGGUGUAAAAUAACAAAAAGUCACAAUAAUCCUUUUAAAUCACUGUAGUCCUUUAACAUGAGGGCAUUUUUGCGCAGUGAAGUCGUUUUAACCAGUCAUCUCUCCUUCCAGCUGAUAUUUAGGUUAAUAAUCAGGAUUAGGGUUAGUUUAUGUAUUACAACCUGAUGUUUUAAUGCCCUCCACCCACCCCUUGUAAGUCCCACAACCUCUCCCCCACCCCUAAAACCGCACCCGCUCAGAUCUCGGUGUGGUGCCGCUGCGUCAGCCGGGGCCCGUAUGGCGUCCUGCAUACCGUUGGUUCAGACCACAAAACACACACUGCUCAAUGGCUGCCCUUUAAUCAGACGACCAGCACACACCCACAGAGACCGGGCUCCUGCCUUUAAUGAUCAAAAUAGUCCUGCGAACACUGAGGAGAGGAGAGGAGAGGCUGGCGGUGGAAGAGCAACGUUUUCACUGGUGGUCGAACAGUCUAAACAUUUUUUUUAUUUUCGUGUGUUUGAUCCUGGUGUUUGUUGGUAUAAUUGAGAUCUAAAGUCUGUAAUACAGAUCAAAGUGUUUCAAUAUACGACCAACAAACAUUCUUAAAACAGACUGAUAUCAUCUGAACACAGGUAGCGAGAGGCAGCUGGUUGAUGCGAUACGCUCCUGCCGAUGGUUUCACACUGUUUCAUUGAUCUACAUGUAGCUUUAAUGAGACAGACGAAGCUUAUAAACAUGGAUCAAUACCACUGAUAUUGAUCAAAUUAACACAGAAAAGGAGAAACACCUUAAAACAUUACAUUUGUACGACUGUAUGGGCGAACAGUGUAAAACUUUACUCAUACAUGUUAAUGUUUUAUUGUCUUGUUUUUCUCAUACAUUUAAUCUAUUUCUGUCAAACUUGCUGAUUUAUGUGGAUUUUAAGGUUUAAUGUCUGUUUUUAAAUAAACUCAUGCAGCAUUA